CUGCCUCGGCCUCCCAAAGUGCUGGGAUUAGAGGUGUGAGCCACUAUGCUUUAUUUUCUUUAUAACUUACUAUCUUUUUAGGAUUUUGUAACCUAUGUACGCUACCAUGCUAUCCCAUGUCUGUUCACUUUUUUAAAAAACCUUUUUGAGUAUAAAUGAUGACAGGUGCUUCCACCUAUGUUAUUUUGUUUAAUCUUCAGGUAAUCCUGUUUGAUAGGCAAUGCUUCUCUUUUUCAUAGGUGAGGAAACUAAAUGAGACUUUUCCAGGAGUUACUGUUGUAAACUGCAGAACCUGAAUUUAAAUGCCAGUCAAAUCCAUGGAUGUUAUAAGUAUGGCCUCUCUGUAUAGGAAAUUCCUCUUCGUUUUAUCAUCUAGCAAACAGGUACUGGUGCCAGGGCAUUACGCUGGGUACAAGAUAUGCGGUGAUGAGCAGAAAAGAUGCUGUCUGUGCUCACAUGGAGCUUCCGGUCUUUAACAAUCAGUCAGAACUGUGUCAUUCCAGAUGUGCCUUUCAUGGAAGUUGCCAUGGUUCUGCAUCCCUAAACCAAUGAGACACAAUGGCAAGUUUCUCUUCCUACAUCUAUUUCAACCACCAGCUUAACUCCCCUUCCUGAGUGCAGCUAAAGCUGUGGCCAUCAGGCAGGUGAAGCUUGGUGCCUCCUGUUCAACCAACAGGAAUGACUGAAGCAGGCUGGGGGUGGGACCAGCAGUAAGAAGCCCAGAGCAAUGACCAGAGCUCCCUUUCUCUGGAGAGCUGGGCUGGAGAAAAUCUAUGCACUGCUGAUCUCCUAAGGAGAGAGCUUCAAGGGUGAAAAGAUGGUGUCCCACAGGCCUGAGGCUGCACAGAUCUAGCUUUUGCCAUUGAGGACAGCAGGGACAGUAAAGCUUCCCAGAUCCCCUUUCAACCUGCCAGCUGGCAUGUCACCUACCAUAGAGGAAGCCAAUCCUAGACCUUGUACUACUUGAGAGAUUGCAAAAGUAUCCUGUUAGCUGGGUCUGGACCCCAAUGAUAAAUAGACUCAUGAGUGAGCUAAGGAAGGGAACUGGCCCAUCUAAAAGGAACCGGCCCAAGGAAAAGCAGGAAUCUAUGAAGGCAUUCAAUAACUUGGACCAAAAAGGAACAAGAAGGUAAAAUUGAAUACUUGGGUGAUGGUUACACUAAAAACCUAGAUUUCCCCACUACAAGAUAUAUCCAUGUAACAAAACUGCACUU
This 1214-nucleotide long non-coding RNA is filed under the name Homo sapiens (human). Its description in RNAcentral is "HSALNT0357302". Lineage: Eukaryota; Metazoa; Chordata; Mammalia; Primates; Hominidae. The record is from RNAcentral.